UAAAAUCUUGUUGCCACUGAUGAAUUACUGCUAGAAUCUUCCUUUAAUUUAAGUUGAGGAUUCGCAGUUUCUGAGGCAAAUUAGAAAA
Molecule: non-coding RNA, 88 nt
Organism: Tribolium castaneum (red flour beetle)
Lineage: Eukaryota; Metazoa; Arthropoda; Insecta; Coleoptera; Tenebrionidae
Source: RefSeq, marked provisional